RNAcentral lists this ribosomal RNA (573 nucleotides) under uncultured bacterium. Its description in RNAcentral is "bacterial SSU rRNA". It matches the Rfam family "Bacterial small subunit ribosomal RNA", at positions 102 to 694 of the family's 1533-position model. The record is from RNAcentral.
ACGGGUGAGUAACACGUGAGCAACCUGCCCUUGGCUCUGGGAUAAGCCCGGGAAACUGGGUCUAAUACCGGAUACGACCAUUCCAGGAUUCUGGUGGUGGUGGAAAGUUUUUCGGCUGGGGAUGGGCUCGCGGCCUAUCAGCUUGUUGGUGGGGUAGUGGCCUACCAAGGCGACGACGGGUAGCCGGCCUGAGAGGGCGACCGGCCACACUGGGACUGAGACACGGCCCAGACUCCUACGGGAGGCAGCAGAGGGGAAUAUUGCACAAUGGGCGGAAGCCUGAUGCAGCGACGCCGCGUGCGGGAUGAAGGCCUUCGGGUUGUAAACCGCUUUCAGCAGGGACGAAUCAAGACGGUACCUGCAGAAGAAGCGCCGGCUAACUACGUGCAGCAGCCGCGGUAAUACGUAGGGCGCAAGCGUUGUCCGGAAUUAUUGGGCGUAAAGAGCUCGUAGGCGGUUUGUCGCGUCUGUUGUGAAAGCCCGGGGCUUAACCCCGGGUCUGCAGUGGAUACGGGCAGGCUAGAGGCAGGUAGGGGAGAACGGAAUUCCCGGUGUAGCGGUGAAAUGCGCAGA